This 467-nucleotide ribosomal RNA is filed under the name uncultured bacterium. RNAcentral's name for it is "partial 16S ribosomal RNA". It matches the Rfam family "Bacterial small subunit ribosomal RNA", at positions 28 to 507 of the family's 1533-position model. The record is from RNAcentral.
GACGAACGCUGGCGGCGUGCUUAACACAUGCAAGUCGAACGGAAAGGCCUCUUUCGGGGGGUACUCGUGGGGCAAACGGGUGAAUAACACGUGAGUACCGUCCCCUUGACUUUGGUAUAACUUCAGAACACUGGGUCUAAUACCGUAUGGGACCUCCUGCUGCCGGGUGGGGGUGGGAACUUUUCGGCGGUUGGGGAUGGACUCGCGGCUUAUCAGCUUGUUGGUGGGGUAGUGGCUUACCAAGGCUUUGACGGGUAGCCGGCCUGAGAGGGUGACCGGCCACAUUGGGACUGAGAUACGGCCCAGACUCCUACGGGAGGCAGCAGUGGGGAAUAUUGCACAAUGGGUGGAAGCCUGAUGCAGCAACGCCGUGUGCGGGAUGACGGCCUUCGGGUUGUAAACCGCUUUCGCUCAUGACGAAGCUUUGUGUGACGGUAGUGGGUAAAGAAGCACCGGCUAACUACGUG